Molecule: long non-coding RNA, 1245 nt
Organism: Symphalangus syndactylus (siamang)
Lineage: Eukaryota; Metazoa; Chordata; Mammalia; Primates; Hylobatidae
Source: RefSeq, a predicted model, not a curated record
AGGGCUCCACCCCCAAGAACCUAGGUGAGGAAAGGCAUUUCCUGCCCAAAUGUUGCAUUUCCCAAGACCACCCUGGCCUGCCACACCCCCAUCCUGGGCCUUUAAAAACCCAAGACCCUAGUGGGCAGACACACAGGCGGCCAGACAGCUGAGGAGCACGUCGGUGGAAGAAAACACAAGCAGCUGGUCGUUGAGAGGACAUGGAGAGGCGCACACCAGCAGAAAAACACACCAACAGGCACCUAGGCUGGCAAGCCGUCGACCAGUGGGGUGAGCCAGAGUUUGGCUGGGCAGUUGGAGGAGACAGGAGAGCCGGGGCCCCUGAGCGGCCCAACGCCAGGGGAAGAUCAUCUCCGUCUGGCUUCCCCAUUGGCUGAGAGCUACUUCCACUCAGUAGAACUUGACACUCAUUCUCCAAGCCCGUGUGUGAUCCGAUUCUUCAGGUACACCAAGGCAAGAACCGGGGAUACAAGAAAACCGUCUGUCUUUGUGACAAGCUCACCCUUGCAGGCAGCAUACCCGCUUGGACUCAGCCAUCCUGGAGGUUUUCAUCUUGCUGUCAACCUUGAAGCACCAGCCUCCACCAUCACAGUGCAGGGUAGACGGCCUGGAGUUUGCGCACCUGCCAAGAAACAUGUAGGUCUGGAGUAACACACGAUGCCUCCUCCAUCCAAUUGUCUGGAACGAGUCCCACACACCACCCUCCCCAGUUUCACAAAACAAAGGGGAAGUGAUAUCCCUUUCUUCCUGGAAGGGAGAGAGCACUUAUAAACAAUAAAACCUUCUUUGAAAUCCUCUUCCAACCAAAUUGCCAUCUCUUGCACGAAAAUUCCAGAGCCAUCAAUAGAGGAUCAAAACUUUUUUUCAAAAGAAAUCAACAGUAUUUGGUUUAUUCUUUUUUCUCUUAAGUAGGGCAGUGCCAGGAUGGGAGUGAAUCUCUGGGCCAAUCUGUGACCACAGAGGCAGGUCUGGGGUACCUUGCAGGACGCUGUCCCUCGCUCAAGCAUCUCUGCUACUACCUGGAGUGAGACCAAAGCCACUGAACCAGCUGACCUGAGAAUCUCGGUCCUAACUCUUCCAGCCAAAUGACUUGAGCAACCGCACCUUUCAUUCACACAGAUUGUCUGUCUCCCCUAUUAGUGUAACCACUUGACCAAGGCAGGCCUUCUCUUCACCUGCUCUGUUCUCUGCUGUAUCCCUGGAGCUAAGAACAUGCCCAAAGUAGGGGCUCAAUAAAUGUCUGCU